Molecule: ribosomal RNA, 663 nt
Filed under: uncultured bacterium
Lineage: Bacteria
Description: bacterial SSU rRNA
Rfam family: Bacterial small subunit ribosomal RNA
Source: RNAcentral
GUUUGAUCCUUACUCAGAACGAACGCUGGCGGCGUGCCUAACACAUGCAAGUCCAACGUGAAAGGGGAGCAAUCCCCCGGUAGGGUGGCAAACGGGUGAGUAAUACAUGGGUGAUCUACCUUAGGGAUGGGGAUAUCCUUCCGAAAGGAGGGGCAAUACCGAAUAUUGUCCGGAGCCGUGAAGGGUUCCGGGGAAAGGGAGGCCUCUGAUACAAGCUUUCGCCUUAAGAUGAGCCCAUGGCCCAUCAGCUAGUUGGUAGGGUAAAGACCUACCAAGGCUACGACGGGUCGCUGGUCUGAGAGGACGACCAGCCACACUGGCACUGAAAUACGGGCCAGACUCCUACGGGAGGCAGCAGUGAGGAAUAUUGCGCAAUGGGGGAAACCCUGACGCAGCAACGCCGCGUGUGGGAAGAAGGCCUUCGGGUCGUAAACCACUUUUGCACGGGACGAAAAAGGGAUAUCGAACAAAUAUCCCCGAUGACGGUACCGUGAGAAUAAGCCACGGCUAACUCUGUGCCAGCAGCCGCGGUAAGACAGAGGUGGCAAGCGUUGUUCGGAAUUACUGGGCGUAAAGAGUCUGUAGGUGGUUUGUCAAGUCUUUGGUGAAAGGCCGUAGCUUAACUAUGGGAAUGCCAAAGAGACUGGCAGGCUGGAGGCUGGG